This 431-nucleotide ribosomal RNA is filed under the name uncultured bacterium. RNAcentral describes it as "partial 16S ribosomal RNA". It matches the Rfam family "Bacterial small subunit ribosomal RNA", at positions 29 to 507 of the family's 1533-position model. The record is from RNAcentral.
AACGAACGCUGGCGGCAGGCUUAACACAUGCAAGUCGAGCGCCCCGCAAGGGGAGCGGCAGGCGGGUGGGGUGCCCAUGGGAACGUACAUUUUGGUUCGGAACAACCUCGGGUAACUGGUGCUAAUACCGAAUAAGCCCUAACAGCGGAAGACUUAUCGCCGUAAAAUCGGCCCGCGUCUGAUUAGCUACUUGGUGGGGUAUCGGCACACCAAAGCGACGUUCAGUAGCUGGGCUGAGGGCAUGACAAGCCAACAUGGGACUGAGACACGGCCCAGACCCCUACGGAAGGCAGCAGUGGGGAAUAUUGGACAAUGGAGGCAAGCCUGAUCAAGCCAUGCCGCGUGAGUGAGGAAGGCCUUAGGGUUGUAAAGCUCCUUUGGCCGGGAAGAGAAUGACGGUACCGGAAGAAUAAGCCCCGGCUAACUACGUG